RNAcentral lists this non-coding RNA (21 nucleotides) under Caenorhabditis elegans. Lineage: Eukaryota; Metazoa; Nematoda; Chromadorea; Rhabditida; Rhabditidae. The record is from RNAcentral.
UCACGGAAUUGCACGGAAUUU